This 916-nucleotide long non-coding RNA is filed under the name Lathyrus oleraceus (garden pea). RNAcentral describes it as "Pisum sativum (pea) long non-coding RNA (PSAT_LNC029845)". Lineage: Eukaryota; Viridiplantae; Streptophyta; Magnoliopsida; Fabales; Fabaceae. The record is from RNAcentral.
UUUUUGCUUUUAUUUUUGUUGAUUAUUUCCCAAUUUUUAAUUUUUACCAUUUCACAUUUGGUUUAUUUUUACUAUCAUGUAUCAUGUGCUGCAUGUAUUUCAGGUUCUGGGUAUUAUAGUUGGAUGAGGUAAUGAUCAAUAGCGGUAGUGGAUAAAAUGAUCACUCCACUUACUAUUGCUUGUUGUGAAGGAUCUUCCCAGAAAGUUGAUAUUGCUGAAGAAAAGAUUAGAUGCAAUUUCUAAAGCUCAACUAACAUAGUGUCCCUGUGCAUUCCGAGUUGAGUAAGAAGUCACACCAUACUCGAAAUACUGUGGAUGCUGUCAAGCUUUACCUAACAUGGUGAGUGCAUAAAAAGCCAAAAACAUUUGUCAUCAUGAGCGAUAUUCAGGUAUGUCUUUAUCACUCUGACUUUGCGUAGGUUCUCUGGGAGUUUCACUACAUGUAUACACACACUGAGGCAUGUUGUUUGAUUAUACCCUGAGCCUUUCUAGCCAUCCCGUUAAUGUUAUCCUUUGGUAACCCCAUUUGAGCCUGUAUCCAUUGUUUGUAUAACCCCGUAAAUGUACCCCUCAGCCAAAACACUUCCUUACCCUGUUCGGAGUCAAGUUGAUAUUAGUAAGUUGUGUUGCAAUUCUAAGUUUGGGGUAAAACCCAUAAGUUUCAAAAGCCAAGGUGAGUGCGGAAAAAAAUAAAUAAGAGAAUCUUCGAGAAAAAAAAAAGAGAGAAAAGAAAGUAAACUCGAGGGUUCAAAAGAAGCACUAGCCAAAGAAAGGCACUCAGAUGAAAACCAAGAAUAGUAAAGAAAAACCCGAGCUAUAAAAAUAAAUAAUAAUAAUAAUAAUAGAGCAAAAGAAAUAAAAUGAACAAACACAGUGAAAAUAAUAGUAACAUUGACUCCGACCCAAAAACCACUUG